RNAcentral lists this ribosomal RNA (450 nucleotides) under uncultured bacterium. Its description in RNAcentral is "bacterial SSU rRNA". It matches the Rfam family "Bacterial small subunit ribosomal RNA", at positions 29 to 524 of the family's 1533-position model. The record is from RNAcentral.
AGCGAACGCUGGCGGCAGGCCUAAUACAUGCAAGUCGAGCGGGUCCUUCGGGAUUAGCGGCGGACGGGUGAGUAACGCGUGGGAACGUGCCCUUUGGUACGGAACAACUGAGGGAAACUUCAGCUAAUACCGUAUGUGCCCUUCGGGGAAAGAUUUAUCGCCAUUGGAGCGGCCCGCGUUGGAUUAGGUAGUUGGUGAGGUAAAGGCUCACCAAGCCUACGAUCCAUAGCUGGUCUGAGAGGAUGACCAGCCACACUGGGACUGAGACACGGCCCAGACUCCUACGGGAGGCAGCAGUAGGGAAUCUUGCGCAAUGGGCGAAAGCCUGACGCAGCCAUGCCGCGUGAAUGAUGAAGGUCUUAGGAUUGUAAAAUUACUUUCACCGGGGACGAUAAUGACGGUACCCGGAGAAGAAGCCCCGGCUAACUUCGUGCCAGCAGCCGCGGUAAU